This 425-nucleotide ribosomal RNA is filed under the name uncultured Methanosaeta sp. RNAcentral describes it as "bacterial SSU rRNA". It matches the Rfam family "Archaeal small subunit ribosomal RNA", at positions 913 to 1338 of the family's 1478-position model. The record is from RNAcentral. Lineage: Archaea; Methanobacteriati; Methanobacteriota; Methanomicrobia; Methanotrichales; Methanotrichaceae.
CAACGCCGGAAAUCUCACCGGGGCGACAGCAAUAUGAAGGUCAGGCUGAAGACCUUACCCGAUUAGCUGAGAGGUGGUGCAUGGCCGUCGUCAGUUCGUACUGUGAAGCAUCCUGUUAAGCCAGGCAACGAGCGAGACCCACGUCCACAGUUGCCAGCAUACCCUCCGGGGUGAUGGGUACACUGUGGAGACCGCCGCUGCUAAAGCGGAGGAAGGAGUGGGCAACGGUAGGUCAGUAUGCCCCGAAUCUCCCGGGCUACACGCGGGCUACAAUGGUUGGUACAAUGGGCAUCUACCCCGAAAGGGGAAGGAAAUCUCUUAAAGCCAAUCGUAGUUCGGAUUGAGGGCUGCAACUCGCCCUCAUGAAGCUGGAAUCCGUAGUAAUCGCGUUUCAACAGAACGCGGUGAAUACGUCCCUGCUCCUU